Molecule: ribosomal RNA, 440 nt
Filed under: uncultured Planctomycetota bacterium
Lineage: Bacteria; Pseudomonadati; Planctomycetota
Description: bacterial SSU rRNA
Rfam family: Bacterial small subunit ribosomal RNA
Source: RNAcentral
AGCCUGAACGAGCGACACCGCGUGCGCGAUGAAGGCCUUCGGGUUGUAAAGCGCGAAAGUGGGGAUAAAGCCGAAAGGUUGAUAGAUCCACAGUAAGGACGGGCUAAGUUCGUGCCAGCAGCCGCGGUAAGACGAACUGUCCUAACGUUGUUCGGAAUCACUGGGCUUAAAGGGCGCGUAGGCGGUCCGACAAGUCAGGGGUGAAAUCCUGCAGCUUAACUGCAGAAGUGCCUUUGAUACUGUCGGUCUUGAGGGAGAUAGGGGUGUGCGGAACUUCCAGUGGAGCGGUGAAAUGCGUUGAUAUUGGAAGGAACGCCGGAGGCGAAAGCGGCGCACUGGAUCUCUUCUGACGCUGAGGCGCGAAAGCUAGGGGAGCAAACGGGAUUAGAUACCCCGGUAGUCCUAGCCCUAAACGAUGAGUACUAGAUUGUAGACUUACA